RNAcentral lists this unclassified non-coding RNA (1629 nucleotides) under Gigantopelta aegis. RNAcentral describes it as "zinc finger and BTB domain-containing protein 49- like, transcript variant X3". The record is from RNAcentral. Lineage: Eukaryota; Metazoa; Mollusca; Gastropoda; Neomphalida; Peltospiridae.
GGGAGAUAAGUUUUUAAGCAAAAAGGAUGACGCGUGGUUUUGUUAAAUUUUAUCGUUGAAAAAUUAGACUAAGCUUCCACAUGUUUAUUAGAUAUACCAACCACUAAAAUUUGAUUAUCAUCCUUGAUACUAGAGGAAAAUGGACAAGCAAUAUUCCAUUCAAUUCUUCACAAAGUUUGUGGAAGCAAUGCAGAAGUUCUGCCGAGACUAUAUUGAAUUUGAACAGGCAGUGGAGCUGAGUGGCUACCUUUCUUUGGAGAUAGACAAUUACAAGAAGGAGAGAUAUGUUCUCAGUGAGAUGGUUCACAGUACUGGUGAUGUGAUCAGUGAGAGCUACUGUGUGAAAGCCUUCAAGACUAUGAAACGUUUACCUUCAAAGUCCGACACAGUUCUUAGAGACACAGUGAACGUCCGGGCAACAGGUGUUGCCGCGUCCAGGGAUGUCACCAUAGACCUCAGACACAGCCCAGAGCCACGGUCCCCACAUCAUGCUGGUUUCCAGCCAUCUUCGGUAAGACAUAGGGCAGCAAAUUCAUAUCGUUCAGUCUCAGGUGUUCCUCAAUCAUCUCAUCGUCAAGGACAACGGACAUCACCAUCCAUGUCUCCAUCAAACAAAAGAACUCAUUUGCCUUUUGCAGCCGGAGCAGCAAAUCAAGUUGUAGACAAACAGUCGGAUGUGUUUAACAGUCAGUAUGAAUCACAUUCAUCAGGGCAUAAUACUAAUAAUGAAGAACUUCUUGAAAUUCAACCAAGACAAUCCGUCCUAAUUUCUUCCAGCCAAACUGUUUCGACCAUUGCUGCUGAGGGCAAUUCUGAAUCCAGCAGUUUUGCACCUCCAAAGGAUGAUAGCCAAACUCCAGAAGCUCAUGCAAGAGGUCAGAAACGAAGCAUUCCCAUUUCCGAAGACGCACCAUUUUCUAAAAAAGAUAAAACGGAUGGUGACUUAGAUUCUCUUAUUACUGCUGCCACAAGUAUUGUUCCUGUUUCUGAAGCAGACGUGAACUCAUUUAAAAGUCUUUAUGAUUCUCAAAGUAAGCCGAUAUCAGCAGACACUGGUUCUAGUGAAAGUCCAUCAGCAUCUCUUCCAAGUGAAAGUAUACGUCUACCUCUACCUGGCAAUAUUCAUAUCAAAGAAGAGGUCAGUGACAUUGUGUUGUUGGACAGUCCAGACAAUGGUGGUGAUAAUUCAGACCUUGCUCAGUUAGAAGUUAGUUUUGGUGUUGCUGGACAAGAUUCAUCAUCAGAAUGGAACACCCAGAUGCAAUCAUCGAGUCAGCCCAAGUUUUCACAGACUGACAGAAAGAAUAUGAAACUGGUUUUCGAUGGAUUUGGUUAUGUAAGGGACAAGGUUGUACCCACAAAGCUGGGCCAAACUAUCUACUGGAAAUGUCGUGAUUGUGCCACCUUGAAAUGCAAGGGACGGAUAAUUCAACGGGACAACUUUUUACACAUGAAGGGGGAGCAUUGUCAUGAUCGGUCCACAGACCUGUACUAGCUUUGUGGCAAUCUAAAGCCCUGCUAAGGUUCCUCAAAUCUAUAUUGUGUUUUAUAGUGCAUAGACAUGAAGAUCACUGCUAGAGGUCCAGCCAUUCUAUAUCCGAACCUAUCAACACAGGACAACCUGGACCU